GAUGCUGACAGAUUUUAUGAGGCCACGUAGUGCGCGUUCGCUCACACGAUGACUAAUUGACUCACUGUGAAUGAAACACGCGUGUUCCUCAUGAGCCAAUUAAACAAAACCUGCAGGACAAAUAAACGCAAUUGAAAUAAAAUUGCCCUGUUUUUUUUUUUUUUAUGGAUGGUGGCUUGGUGCGUCUUUGGGGAACUGCCAAGGGAGGGAGACGCUGUCGUUUAGGGAGGUAGACAGUUGGGUUUGUGGCCGUGGUUUUCGGGUCAGAUUGAGGCUAUGUAACCGUGGUUGGUAGGGCUGAGUUGACUAAGGCGGUUCGUUGCUACUGUCGUGGGAGAGAGGUUGCUUGGAUGCUUGUUUAUGAAGUUGGAGAGGGCUGGGGAGAUUACGGGUCACGACUGGUUCGGUUUGAUUUUGGUGAUUUGGGGCUGAUUCUCGGUGGCUGUAUGGUGUUGGGUUGUAAAUGGGUCAGCUGGGUCUAGUGGUGAGUUCCAUUGCAAUCAGGUCUAAGUUGAUGAUGGGAGAGAAGGAGGUGGUGGUCGUAUUGCUCAGGUCUGGUGUUGGGUCGAUCCCGGGUAGAAAGGAGGCUUAAUUACGGGCUGGUUCCUGGUAUUUUGAGGGUUUUUGAAGGUGAUGGCUACUGGGUUAAUAAAGGAUGAAGGCUUAAUUGGUUAUGGCUGCUGUUUUUUUUUUUCCUUGAGAGGCUCUCUGUCCCCAUGUUGUCCCUCUGGUUUGUUGUCUUGUCCCUCUGGUUUGUUGUCUCGAGAGGCUGGUUCUUGGUGGUUGUCUGUCUCGGGCUAGAGGAUCUGCUAACAGUGCGUUGCAACUUGGAGGGAGGGAUAUUGAGUAGUAUAAAUAUGAGAAGCCUUCACAACAAAAAAUUGCAUUCUCCAAAAGCUACAGGUAUACUGGUAAUUAUACAGUACGUAUAGAGUUGUCAUUAAUUCUAAAAUUAAUGGCAAUCAAGAAUCGUAAUGUUACUGUAGAUGGCGAACGUGCAAUGACCAUGGGGCAGUUCAGGGCUUGGAUGAAAACAAUCGAUGGUGAUAAAGAUGGCAAGAUAAGCAAGGAUGAACUCUCCGACGCCGUCCGUGGCAACGGAGGAUGGUUUGCUGGUUGGAAGGCCAAGAGGGGGGUAGGGUCAGCUGACUCCAAUGGCAAUGGCUUCGUCGAUGAGACUGAAAUCGGUAACCUAGUGGAGUUUGCUCAAAAGCACCUGGGUAUCAAAAUCAUUUAACCAUUUAAAAUUGCAUAUGCCUUUGUAUUAUUAUUAUUAUCGUGCCUGGCUGGUGUGUAAUAAGAAGAAAAAAUGAAUAUUAUUAUUAUUAUUAUUAUCGUGCCUGGCUGGUGUGUAAUAAGAAGAAAAAAUGAAGAAUUUAUAUCAUUACAAUCUGUUUUCAAACAAGUGAUAUCUUUGUGUAGUGCGCAAUGGACACUUCCUAGUCCAAGACUUGUUGUAUGUGUAAUUUGUGUAUCAAAAUAUUAAGUUUAAGAAAAAAUAUAAAUGUGUUGAACGAGUUUUACCGUAUAA
Molecule: long non-coding RNA, 1531 nt
Organism: Populus trichocarpa (black cottonwood)
Lineage: Eukaryota; Viridiplantae; Streptophyta; Magnoliopsida; Malpighiales; Salicaceae
Exons: 2
Source: RefSeq, a predicted model, not a curated record